This 254-nucleotide ribosomal RNA is filed under the name uncultured bacterium. RNAcentral describes it as "partial 16S ribosomal RNA". It matches the Rfam family "Bacterial small subunit ribosomal RNA", at positions 524 to 776 of the family's 1533-position model. The record is from RNAcentral.
GACGAACCGUCCAAACGUUAUUCGGAAUCACUGGGCUUAAAGGGCGCGUAGGCGGCCGAGCGGGUCACGGGUGAAAUCCUCCAGCUUAACUGGAGAACUGCCCUUGAUACCACUGCGGCUCGAGGAAGGAAGGGGCAAUCGGAACUGUCGGUGGAGCGGUGAAAUGCGUUGAUAUCGACAGGAACGCCGGUGGCGAAAGCGGGUUGCUGGUCCUUUUCUGACGCUGAGGCGCGAAAGCCAGGGGAGCAAACGGG